RNAcentral lists this unclassified non-coding RNA (229 nucleotides) under Hevea brasiliensis (rubber tree). Lineage: Eukaryota; Viridiplantae; Streptophyta; Magnoliopsida; Malpighiales; Euphorbiaceae. The record is from RNAcentral.
AAGAGCUAUAAGAAUCAGAUAUGCAGCAAUGUGAAAAGACCCAACACCCCAAACAAUCAGAACAACUCAAAUUAAAUAGCAACUUAGACUCUAGUAAUCUUUUAUCUUUAUCUGUCUUUUAUUUUCCAAACUUUCGCAUUUAAUUUUAAGUCUUGCAUUUCCUUUUCAAUUAAUCAAUCAAAAUAUUCAAUUCUAGAUCACUUACUUUCAAUUAUUUAUGAGAUUGACG